AUUGAACGCUGGCGGCAGGCCUAACACAUGCAAGUCGAACGGUAACAGGAAGAAGCUUGCUUCUUUGCUGACGAGUGGCGGACGGGUGAGUAAUGUCUGGGAAACUGCCUGAUGGAGGGGGAUAACUACUGGAAGCGGUAGCUAAUACCGCAUAACGUCGCAAGACCAAAGAGGGGGACCUUCGGGCCUCUUGCCAUCGGAUGUGCCCAGAUGGGAUUAGCUAGUAGGUGGGGUAACGGCUCACCUAGGCGACGAUCCCUAGCUGGUCUGAGAGGAUGACCAGCCACACUGGAACUGAGACACGGUCCAGACUCCUACGGGAGGCAGCAGUGGGGAAUAUUGCACAAUGGGCGCAAGCCUGAUGCAGCCAUGCCGCGUGUAUGAAGAAGGCCUGCGGGUUGUAAAGUACUUUCAGCGGGGAGGAAGGGAGUAAAGUUAAUACCUUUACUCAUUGACGUUACCCGCAGAAGAAGCACCGGCUAACUCCGG
RNAcentral lists this ribosomal RNA (489 nucleotides) under uncultured bacterium. RNAcentral describes it as "partial 16S ribosomal RNA". It matches the Rfam family "Bacterial small subunit ribosomal RNA", at positions 30 to 506 of the family's 1533-position model. The record is from RNAcentral.